Molecule: ribosomal RNA, 447 nt
Filed under: uncultured bacterium
Lineage: Bacteria
Description: bacterial SSU rRNA
Rfam family: Bacterial small subunit ribosomal RNA
Source: RNAcentral
AUCCAGACUCCUACGGGAGGCAGCAGUGGGGAAUAUUGCACAAUGGGGGAAACCCUGAUGCAGCGACGCCGCGUGAGCGAUGAAGUAUUUCGGUAUGUAAAGCUCUAUCAGCAGGGAAGAAGAUGACGGUACCUGACUAAGAAGCCCCGGCUAACUACGUGCCAGCAGCCGCGGUAAUACGUAGGGGGCAAGCGUUAUCCGAAUUUACUGGGUGUAAAGGGAGCGUAGACGGCGAUGCAAGCCAGAUGUGAAAGCCCGGGGCUCAACCCCGGGACUGCAUUUGGAACUGUGUGGCUGGAGUGUCGGAGAGGCAGGCGGAAUUCCUAGUGUAGCGGUGAAAUGCGUAGAUAUUAGGAGGAACACCAGUGGCGAAGGCGGCCUGCUGGACGAUGACUGACGUUGAGGCUCGAAAGCGUGGGGAGCAAACAGGAUUAGAUACCCUAGUAA